Molecule: unclassified non-coding RNA, 192 nt
Filed under: uncultured fungus
Lineage: Eukaryota; Fungi
Description: partial contains 18S rRNA, ITS1, 5.8S rRNA, ITS2 and 28S rRNA
Source: RNAcentral
AAGGAUCAUCAUUAAAGAUUCGCUGGCCUUCCAGGGCAGCGAAUUUAGAUUUUCAGCGCUGUGCACGUGUAGUGGGUCGUGCGCCGUGCUGCCCGACAGGGCGGCAGGGCGGAGAGGCCAACAUUCACAUCAAGUCUGAAGCAUUAGUCAUGUGACAAAGAACAACUUUUAUCAGUGGAUCUCUGGGCUCUC